Molecule: ribosomal RNA, 256 nt
Filed under: uncultured archaeon
Lineage: Archaea
Description: partial 16S ribosomal RNA
Rfam family: Archaeal small subunit ribosomal RNA
Source: RNAcentral
ACAUUAGAUACCCCUGUAGUCCCAGCCCUAAACGAUGCGCGUUAGGUGUAUCGGUGACCACGAGUCACCGAGGUGCCGAAGGGAAACCGUGAAACGUGCCGCCUGGGAAGUACGGUCGCAAGGCUGAAACUUAAAGGAAUUGGCGGGGAGCACCACAACGGGUGGAGCCUGCGGUUUAAUUGGACUCAACGCCGGGAAGCUCACCGGAUAAGACAGCGGAAUGAUUGCCGGGCUGAAGACCCUGCAUGACCAGCUG